Tarenaya hassleriana is the source of this 587-nucleotide long non-coding RNA. RefSeq lists it as uncharacterized. The record is from RefSeq and is a predicted model, not a curated record. Lineage: Eukaryota; Viridiplantae; Streptophyta; Magnoliopsida; Brassicales; Cleomaceae. The transcript has 2 exons.
CCGUCGGGUUUUCAGAGUGGGAAGUGAUUCUCUCCACGUCCAAAGGCCUAGACCUCGUUUGGGCGCAAGUUCUAUCCGAUCCAUUCUUGAGACGGCUCAUCCUCAGAUUCAUCUUCUGCCGGUUUGUCCUGAAGGCCUUCUCCCGGUCAGAAGAUCUUGAAUCUAGCUCGCCCCUCUGCUUUCCCGACCUCCCGGGCUCCGUCUCGUCGGGGUCUGAACCCGUGAAAUCUGUUCUUCGCCGACUGGCCGACCACCUGGGAGUCACCGAAUGUUUCAGAUUCUGACAGGGCAUAGAAUAUGGUAAAAACGUUAGAGCCUAUCUCCACUGGUUUGUUAUACGAAGACAAGUGGUAUUUAGGUGGUGGGGGAUUUGAGUAAAGUGUGAUUUGGGGAUUCUCUAUGAUUCUUUUUUUUUUGUCAUUUUGUAAAAGAGAAAGCCAAUGUAGCUAUGAAAUUGAACCGUGUUUUAGAAGAACAAACAUAUAUAUAUAUAUAUAUUAUUAGUCUUUUUUUUUUGGGUUUUUAUUCCUUCUUAGUGUUGUACGGACUACGGAGGUAAACAUAAUAAUUUAAUGUGCAUUGCUUAA